Molecule: ribosomal RNA, 729 nt
Filed under: Phaeocystis jahnii
Lineage: Eukaryota; Haptophyta; Phaeocystales; Phaeocystaceae
Description: SSU rRNA
Rfam family: Bacterial small subunit ribosomal RNA
Source: RNAcentral
GAUGCAAGCGUUAUCCGGAAUCAUUGGGCGUAAAGCGCCUGUAGGUUGUUUAAUAAGUCUGUUGUUAAAGACUAGGGCUUAACCCUAGGAAAGCAAUGGAAACUACUAGACUAGAGUAUGGUAGGGGUAGAGGGAAUUUCUAGUGUAGCGGUGAAAUGCGUAGAUAUUAGAAAGAACACCGGUGGCGAAGGCGCUCUACUGGACCAUUACUGACACUCAGAGGCGAAAGCUAGGGUAGCAAAAGGGAUUAGAUACCCCUGUAGUCCUAGCCGUAAACGAUGGAUACUAGAUGUUGCGUUUUUAUGCAGUAUCCUAGCUAACGCGUUAAGUAUCCCGCCUGGGGAGUACGCUCGCAAGGGUGAAACUCAAAGGAAUUGACGGGGGCCCGCACAAGCGGUGGAGCAUGUGGUUUAAUUCGAUGCAACGCGAAGAACCUUACCAAGGCUUGACAUACUACAGAUCUCUUUGAGAAAGGAGAGUGCCUUCGGGAAUGUAGAUACAGGUGGUGCAUGGCUGUCGUCAGCUCGUGUCGUGAGAUGUUGGGUUAAGUCCCGCAACGAGCGCAACCCUUAUUUUUAGUUACCAAUUUUUUGGGUUUUCUAGAGAGACUGCCGGUGACAAACCGGAGGAAGGUGAGGAUGACGUCAAGUCAGCAUGCCCCUUAUGCCUUGGGCUACACACGUGCUACAAUGGUAAGACAAAGAGUUGCGAACUUGCGAAAGUCAGCUA